GCUGCAGUGUUGUUGUGGCUGUGAGAAGGCGGCGGCGGCGGCGGAGCAGCAGCCGGACCAGACUCCCUAGUAGCUCAGGCGCUGCCCUGCGCCGGCCCUGGCAGGGAGCCUGGUGAGAUGGUGGAGGAGGAGGCUGUGCCGUGGCUGGCCUUGCUGUGUCCUGCUGCCUGGGAGGUGAGUGUGCGCCCUUCGCUCCCUGCCGUGUCUGUGAGGGUCCAUCGUUGCCGGAGACUGGAGGUCGGGGGCCAUGGGAGCCCCGGGGCGAACGGUGCGGACAUGGGCCUUGUGGAAAGGAGGAGUGACCGCCUGAGCGUGCAGCAGGACAUCUUCCUGACCUGGUAAUAAUUAGGCUGGAGUGCAAUGGUGCAAUCUCGGCUACUGCAACCACUGCUGCCCGAGUUCAAUCGAUUCUCCCCUCAGCCUCCCAAGUAGCUGGGAUUACAGGUGUGUGCCACCACACCCGGCUAAUUUUUGUAUUUUUAGUAAUUUUCCCCAGUGUGUGGCUUGGCUUUUCACUCUCUAAAUGGUGUCUUUUGAUGAACAGAAAUUGUUAAUUUUAUGAAAGUUUAAUUUAUCAAUUAUGGUUAGUUAUAGUUAUGUACAAUUUGGAAAAUCAUUGCCUAUCCCAACAUUAUAAAAAUAAUGUCCUACAUUCUUUUUUAAGAGGUUACAUUAUUUUACAUUUCUCAGCAGGGUCUCAGAUCUAGUUGAUGUGAUUUUUUCAAAUCACAAACUCACUUUUGUAUAGGGUUUGAGGAGGGGUCAAAAUAAAUUUUUCCUCAUAGAUAUCCAGUUGAUCCAGCACCUUUUAUUGAAAAGGCCAUUCCUCACACUAAAUUGUAGUAGUGCUUUUGUCAAAAAUCAGGUGACUGUAUAUAGAAAGGUCUGUUUCUGAUCUGUUUUCUGUUUUAUUAUUCUAGGUGUCCAUGCUUGUUCUAAUACCUUACUAUUUGAUUUACUUUAGCUUUAUACCAAGUUUUGAUGUUUAAUCAUGUAAAUCCUCAACCUUUGUUCUUUUUCAAAGUUAUCUUGGCUAUUAAAUUCUUGGUAUUUCUAAAUAUAGUUUUAAAACAGUGUCAGACAAUGCUUUUUUAUUAUUUAAAGAUGAGAUACUAAGUACCUGAACACAAUGACAAAUUCUAUGAUCUUCUGAAACUAACCUCCGGGUGUGAGAAUUUGAAGGUUAGUGGAUAGAAGAUGGCCGAAUAGGAACAGCUCCGAUCUGCAGCUCCCAGUGAGACCAACACAGAAAACAGGUGAUUUCUGCAUUUCCAAAUGAGGUACCUGGUUCAUCAUCAUUGGCACUGGUUGGACAGUGGGUGCAGCCCACAGAGGGUGAGUUGAAGCAGGGCAGUGUGUCACCUCAUCCGGGAAAUGCAAGGGGUCAGGAGAUUUCCUUUACCUAUCCAAGGGAAGCUGUGACAGACUGUACUUGGAAAAAUGGUACACUUCUGCCUAAAUACUGUGCUUUUCCCAUGGUCUUAGCAACCAGCAGACCAGGAGAUUCCCUCCCAUGUCUGGCUCAGUGGAUCCCACGCCCAUGGAGCCUUGCUCACUGCUAGCACAGCAAUCUGAGAUUGACCUGAGAGGCUGCAGCCGGGUGGAGGGAGGGGGGUCUGCUAUUGCUGAGGCUUCAGUAGGUAAAGAAAGCAGCCAGAAAGCUCAAACUGGGUGGAGCCCACCACAGCUCAACAAUGCCUACUGCCUCUAUAGGCUCCACCUCUUUGGACAGGGCAUAGCUGAACAAAAGGCAGCAGACAACUUCUUCAGACUUAAACAUCCCUGUCUGACAGCUCUGAGAGAGAAGUGGUUCUUCCAGCAUGGUGUUGGAACUCUGAGAAUGGACAGACUGCCUCCUUAAGGGGGCCCCUGAUCCCCGUAUAGCCUGACUGGGAGACAUCUCCCAGUAGGGGCCGACAGAUACCUCAUACAGGUGGGUGCCCCUCUGCGAUGAAGCUUCCAGAGGAAGGAUCAGGCAGCAAUACUUGCUCUUCUGCAGCCUCUGCUGGUGAUGCCCAGGCAAACAGGGUCUGGAGUGGACCUCCAGCAAACUCCAACAGACAUGCAGCUGAGAGGCCUGUUAGAAGGAAAACUAACAAACAGAAAGGAAUAGCAUCAAUAUCAACAAAAAGGACAUCCACAUUAAAACCCCAUCUGUAGGUCACCAACAUCAAAGACCAAAGGUAGAUAAAAUCACAAAGAUGGGGAGAAACCAGAGCAGAAAAGAUGAAAAUUCCAAAAACCUAAGCACUUCUUCUUGUCCAAAGGAUCGCAGCUCCUCACCAGCAACAGAACAAAACUGGACAGAGAAUGACUUUGAUGAAUUGACAGAAGUAGGCUUCAGAAGGUCGGUAAUAACAAACUUCUCUGAGCUAAAGGAGCAUGUUCUAACCCACUGGAAGGAAGCUAAAACUCUUGAAAACAGGUUAGAUGAAUGGCUAACUAGAAUAAAUAGUGUAAAGAAGACCUUAAAUGACCUGAUGGAGAUGAAAACCACAGCAUGAGAACUUCGUGACGCAUGCACAAGCAUCAAUAGCUGAUUCAAUCAAGUGGAAGAAAGGAUAUCAGUGAUUGAAGAUCAAAUUAAUGAAAUAAAGUGAGAAGACAAGAUUAGAGAAAAAA
Homo sapiens (human) is the source of this 2622-nucleotide long non-coding RNA. RefSeq lists it as uncharacterized. NCBI's taxonomy places the organism in Eukaryota, Metazoa, Chordata, Mammalia, Primates, Hominidae. The transcript is spliced from 3 exons. The record is from RefSeq and is a predicted model, not a curated record.